Molecule: long non-coding RNA, 2750 nt
Organism: Patiria miniata (bat star)
Lineage: Eukaryota; Metazoa; Echinodermata; Asteroidea; Valvatida; Asterinidae
Exons: 3
Source: RefSeq, a predicted model, not a curated record
UAGGCGUCCUGUGUGAGAAAUGUUCUAAAGGUUAUGGCGGAUUUCGUCUGUUUUCGAACCCCAAAAUGUGUCUUCGAGUGGCAGAUACCGUUCUGGCUGAAACUGCUUAUUUCAUUGACAUCAGUUUUUCGGCCUUGGACAGGAGACGAGACGAAUGCAGGCAAAUAGAUUUGACACAUUCAUGUGUCAAAAGGACUUGGACAAUGGUUCCAACAGACCUUUUACUUUGGAGAAGCAGCUAGUCAACAGUGUGUGUGCAUGGUGCAUGUAACUGCCAACAUCAAAAAUGAUCUUCGGCUGGAGAUGGAGUGCUGAAACUGCAGACUUGGAGCCAACCAGCCAAAGAUGCCUCAGUUAUCAUUCUGGACGUGAUGCUGCCUUCGCUAAUUCCAAGUCAUCUCAAGAGGCCGUGUCUGUAGUCGACACUUAGGGAAGAGUAAAUCCUUGGCAAGAAUAAACAGAGAAAUGUCAAAACUUACUUUGCUCUGAAGAUAUUUUUAUAAGGAAAUUGGCUUUCCUUGUUUUUUGAUGAUCUAUUAUGUCUGAAAAAUUACUUAAAUCACUUUGAGACAAACUUAGCCAAACUCAAAAACAUAGCUGUUGGAAAAUUAAAAAAAAAAAUCUGUCCAUUUUGUUAUCAAAAGAUAUUUCUGUGGCCUUAAAUAUCUCAUGGAACAUUUCUAAAUUGCCAUGGAUUUAUUCGGAACCAAAUUUUUACGGAAAAUUGAGCCAGGCUUACGUUGGAAGGGUCAUUUUGCAAAGAACUCGCCAAAAAAGCCAAGGACAUUUUUAAAAUCUCAAAAGAAAAAACAAGAAAGGGUAUUUUCUUCUUUUACACUGAACCAAAGAAUCAAACGAAGUCAAAUUUUGCGCAUCUGAGUUUAGAGUUCACGGCAAACAUCAUCUUGGAUUCAUUUCAAUUUCAAAUGUUGAAAAUAUUUAUAACAUGUCAUGGAUAUUUGGAAGACUAAAUUCCGAGCGCUACUUGCCCUUUUCCUCUGACUUGUGCCUGGCUCAUCAUUAUUUCAAAUGAUUAUUUAUUAAAGAUUAGUACUCGUGUAUAAGAAAAGUAAACAAGUCAAAUAUAAGUGAAAUUGCCAACAGCUUUCUUUAAUGGCACAUCAUGACAUCGUGUGAAUAAUACACCGUCGAAGUUACCUUUGCAUACAAUUGCCGAAACUGUCGUGUUGUAUGUGUAAUGCUUAUAUAGUGAAGAUUAUGUUUUGGGGGUUGACUUCUACUAUUAAUUGUAAUUUGAAAAGUUUUUUUGACAUCUAAGUUCAAUAGUGUCAUAGCAUACAAGGUAACUGCUCAAGUAAUAUCAGCCAAAGUGAUCGUACGAAACUGCUUUCUGGUUCAGUGUUGAAAGACUAACUAUUUUUCAUUCAAUAUUUUCUACCUUCUUUAUAUAGACUUGUGUUUCUUCAAUUGUUCUAUAAGUUGCUCCCUCGGUAUACUCACCGUAUUCACUUCAUUUUCUACCAACCAAUUUUCAAUUUCGUAUCUUUUAUAACAAAAAAACCCACAAAAAAUACUUUUUACUCUGCAUGGGUUGCACUCAUCUGCGUCUCUAUAACACACAAAAAGAUCCGUCUUAAUAACUGUCGAGCAAAAAUGCACUUGGAACGUUAAAAUUGUACUAAAAACCGAACAGUUUACUUGGUGUGGCAUUUAAAUGUCAAAGUUGCAUGCGUUUUUUUUAAAUCACUUGUGUACCAUGUAUUAAUUGUUUUACAAAAAUGAUGUUUGAUAUUUAAUUCAAGACUCUCAUUUCCACCCUGCCUUGCUGCAUGAUGUGCCAUUUUGAAAUGUAAAAAAAGGUGUAUUUUUUUGUGUGUUUUGUGUUGUUCAUUUAAAUUUAAAACAAAAUAUCGGAAAAAGAGGGCGCUACUACCUAAAUUAAGUUGAAUUAAAUUGCUGUAAAUUAAUGCAACCUUUUCCUGUGAACUUAAAUGGCGCUCUUGUCCAAAAAAAUGCAGAGGAAGAACUUGCGCGCAAAGGCCAAUUUAGCAAAAUGUUUUAAGGUAAAUACAGUGCCCUUUUUUCCAGUAUUUUGUUUGGGGCGCAAGGGGGCGCUAUCACAAAUUAACAGCGCGUUACUACUUGGGCAACAGAGGGCGCUACCAUGGCAAAUUUUAAAAUUGGUCAUCCACCAACAAAAGAGGGCGCCGUUAUAAAAAAACUCUUGCAAAAAAAGUGGUAGCGCCCUCUGUCCCAAGUAAAUUUGUGGUAGCGCCCUCUAUUUUUUAAUUGGGUUUGGGCUGGGCAAUAGAGGGCGCUAUAACGGGCAUUGAUUGCCCGUUAUAGCGCCCUCUAUUGCCCAGCUCAUUUGGGGGUAAAAGGGGAAUAAGACAAGACGGUAGAGAGAAUAUAUUGGAACCCAAUAAAUUUAUUUGACUUUGAAAAAAAUGGCCAAAAAAAAAGUGUUCCCCCUGGCGCGUGCCCUGCGCCCCCGCCCACGGACGCCAACAGGCCAGCGAGUCGCCCACAUCCACAUCAACUUGUAACCCGUCAUUGCCGAGUAAUGUACAAACUCCACCAAUCAACUCAGAUGUUACAAGUCGGACUUCAACAUGAUAAGGAUCCAGUGAACUCCGAACAAUCAGUUUACUUUUCUACAAAGUCGAUAUCAUUUUGGCUGUUUAUACCGAGUGGUUACCAUGGUUAUUGUAUAUCUUCCCAGCAUUCCUUCAAUUGCUAACGAGAGAUACCCAACGACAACUACUCAUAACUGUCUUCCAAGAAUAUUU